AGCAGCCGCGGUAAUUCCAGCUCCAAUAGCGUAUAUUAAAGUUGUUGCAGUUAAAAAGCUCGUAGUUGAAUUUCGGGGUUAGCAGGUCGGUCGUGCCAUCGGUAUGAACUGGUCUCGCUGAUCCCUCCCUCUUGACGAACUGUGAUGCCAUUAAUUUGGUGUCGCAGGGAAUCAGGACUGUUACUUUGAAAAAAUUAGAGUGUUUAAAGCAGGCUCACGCUUGAAUACAUUAGCAUGGAAUAAUGAAAUAGGACGUUUGAUCCUAUUUUGUUGGCUUCUAGGAUUGACGUAAUGAUUAAUAGGGAUAGUUGGGGGCAUUAGUAUUCAAUUGUCAGAGGUGAAAUUCUUGGAUUUAUUGAAGACUAACUACUGCGAAAGCAUUUGCCAAGGAUGUUUUCAUUAAUCAAGAACGAAAGUUAGGGGAUCGAAGACGAUCAGAUACCGUCGUAGUCUUAACCAUAA
This 462-nucleotide unclassified non-coding RNA is filed under the name uncultured Entrophospora. RNAcentral's name for it is "SSU rRNA". It matches the Rfam family "Eukaryotic small subunit ribosomal RNA", at positions 569 to 1035 of the family's 1831-position model. The record is from RNAcentral. Lineage: Eukaryota; Fungi; Glomeromycota; Glomeromycetes; Entrophosporales; Entrophosporaceae.